This 424-nucleotide ribosomal RNA is filed under the name uncultured bacterium. Its description in RNAcentral is "partial 16S ribosomal RNA". It matches the Rfam family "Bacterial small subunit ribosomal RNA", at positions 360 to 776 of the family's 1533-position model. The record is from RNAcentral.
AAUUUUGGACAAUGGGGGAAACCCUGAUCCAGCCAUCCCUCUUGUGCGAUGAAUGCCUUCGGGUUGUAAAGCACUUUUCGCAGGGAAGAAAAGGCUCUGGAUAAUACCCUGACCUGCUGACGGUACCUGCAGAAUAAGCACUUGCAAACCACCCACAAUCACCCGGGGUAAUACGUAGGGUGCAAGCGUUAAUCGGAAUUACUGGGCGUAAAGCGUGCGCAGGCGGUUUGGCAAGAAGGAUGUGAAAUCCCAGGGCUUAACCUUGGAACUGCAUUCUUAACUGCCAGGCUAGAGUAUGUCAGAGGGGGGUAGAAUUCCGCGUGUAGCAGUGAAAUGCGUAGAGAUGCGGAGGAAUACCGAUGGCGAAGGCAGCCCCCUGGGAUAAUACUGACGCUCAUGCACGAAAGCGUGGGGAGCAAACAGG